GACAGAGGGUGCAAACGUUGCCCGGAAUCACUGGGCGUAAAGGGCGCGUAGGCGGCGCGGGAAGUCAUCGGUGAAAGUUCAGGGCUCAACUCUGAAUCGGCCGGUGAUACUCUCGUGCUUGAGCACUGUAGAGGCAGGUGGAAUUCCGGGUGUAGCGGUGAAAUGCGUAGAGAUCGGGAGGAACACCAGAGGCGAAGGCG
Molecule: ribosomal RNA, 200 nt
Filed under: uncultured bacterium
Lineage: Bacteria
Description: partial 16S ribosomal RNA
Rfam family: Bacterial small subunit ribosomal RNA
Source: RNAcentral